This is a long non-coding RNA of Paramisgurnus dabryanus, 535 nucleotides long. RefSeq lists it as uncharacterized. NCBI's taxonomy places the organism in Eukaryota, Metazoa, Chordata, Actinopteri, Cypriniformes, Cobitidae. The record is from RefSeq and is a predicted model, not a curated record.
GUAAAUGAUUAAUUUCACUACAGAUGAGUUCAGACGGCUACAGGUUUCUCACACAUCAGUACUUCUCAGACAUUAAACCUCCUGACAGCUUUUUUGAAGUGUUGUGUGUUAUGAAGGAAAGCUGAUGAGCUGGCAUUAAUCGUCAUUAAACCGCAUGAUCGGACAGCAAUGGAGGACAAUAAGACUGAUCGCGUAAACCCACCCACAACCCCACCCGCCACGCCCACUUCACCAGUGUCUUCUGAACAGCCAAAAACAGGAGGUAAUGAACGCAUCAAAAAGCUCAUGAUGAAACUCCACCCACUACAAAACGCUGCCCUUACAUUGGCAGUUUGACCUGCCAAUAAUUUCUAACAUGUCCAUCAAUGGAUGGAGGAAAAAGUACCUUUUUUAUUUUGUGUAAACUUCAUUCAUGACUUUGUCUUAAAUUGAUUUAUGAUGUGUUUGUGUGCACACUUCUGUUGUGUUUGUCAUUUAUACUGUAUGCUACUACACAAUAAAACCCCUAACUACUUAAACAUCUCUGUGUGUGUGU